AGGCCAAUGAGAAGAGCCACUUGCCA
RNAcentral lists this non-coding RNA (26 nucleotides) under Homo sapiens (human). Lineage: Eukaryota; Metazoa; Chordata; Mammalia; Primates; Hominidae. The record is from RNAcentral.